This 486-nucleotide ribosomal RNA is filed under the name uncultured bacterium. RNAcentral's name for it is "bacterial SSU rRNA". It matches the Rfam family "Bacterial small subunit ribosomal RNA", at positions 30 to 530 of the family's 1533-position model. The record is from RNAcentral.
AUUGAACGCUGGCGGCAGGCCUAACACAUGCAAGUCGAGCGGAUGAGUGGAGCUUGCUCCAUGAUUCAGCGGCGGACGGGUGAGUAAUGCCUAGGAAUCUGCCUGGUAGUGGGGGACAACGUUUCGAAAGGAACGCUAAUACCGCAUACGUCCUACGGGAGAAAGCAGGGGGACCUUCGGGCCUUGCGUUAUCAGAUGAGCCUAGGUCGGAUUAGCUAGUAGGUGAGGUAAUGGCUCACCUAGGCGACGAUCCGUAACUGGUCUGAGAGGAUGAUCAGUCACACUGGAACUGAGACACGGUCCAGACUCCUACGGGAGGCAGCAGUGGGGGAAUAUUGGACAAUGGGCGAAAGCCUGAUCCAGCCAUGCCGCGUGAGUGAUGAAGGCCUUAGGGUUGUAAAGCUCUUUUACCCGGGAUGAUAAUGACAGUACCGGGAGAAUAAGCUCCGGCUAACUCCGUGCCAGCAGCCGCGGUAAAGUGACUAC